Molecule: transfer RNA, 69 nt
Filed under: Grosmannia clavigera kw1407
Lineage: Eukaryota; Fungi; Ascomycota; Sordariomycetes; Ophiostomatales; Ophiostomataceae
Rfam family: tRNA
About the family: Transfer RNA (tRNA) molecules are approximately 80 nucleotides in length. Their secondary structure includes four short double-helical elements and three loops (D, anti-codon, and T loops).
Source: Rfam by way of RNAcentral
GCCCGGUUAGCUCAAUCGGUAGAGCGUGAGACUCUUAAUCUCAAGGUUGCGGGUUAGUAUUACAGAGUA